UUUGGGACUCCCAGGGUGGCGGCUAC
Molecule: non-coding RNA, 26 nt
Filed under: Homo sapiens (human)
Lineage: Eukaryota; Metazoa; Chordata; Mammalia; Primates; Hominidae
Source: RNAcentral